Long non-coding RNA from Bombus huntii, 2634 nucleotides. RefSeq lists it as uncharacterized. Lineage: Eukaryota; Metazoa; Arthropoda; Insecta; Hymenoptera; Apidae. The transcript has 5 exons. The record is from RefSeq and is a predicted model, not a curated record.
AUAUGAUUUAUUUUGUAACGCAUAAAGGUUACUAUAUGCACGUGUUGAUUAUCCAAAAUGGCCGCCUGUGAAUGUUCGUAGUAUAUAGUAACAUUUUAUUAAUGUGAAAUCUAUUAUUUAUCCGUUAAUUAUUUAUGACUUUAUUUUAAUAGUUGACGUAUAAUUGCAGUGGGAAUAAUAUUAUUUUGCAUUUAUUUAAUGUGCGUAAUUAUUGCAUGUAUGCCGAUGCGCACGUGUAAGAGCUAUCAUAACAGUCCAAGAUGGCCGCUCGUGAGUGUCUCUAGUAAAAGUGUAGUGACGCGUCCUUAAUUUGUUUAAUACUGAAACAAUUAUUCGUCCGUCGCUUAUUUUCCUUUAUUUUAGCGCAGUUAGAAUUUUUAAAUGACAAUAGUAUUGUUUGUGUAAUCAUUAUAAUGUGUAUAUAUACUAUGUGUUACUUUAAUAUAAUAACAUGUGGAUUGUGUUAUUGUUAAUUUUUAUAAUUUAUCAAUAGCACUAUUUUAUUGUUGUGUUUCGAGUGGUUUAUUUUUAUAGAGUGUUCGCUUAAUUAAUUUAAUACUAAUAUGUGCAUAGUGUGUUAUUUUAAUAUAAUAGCAUGUGGCUCGUGUUAUUGUUAAAUUUUAUAAUUUAUCAAUAGCACUGUUUUAUUGUUGUGUUACGAGUGGUUUAUUUUUGUAGAGUGUUCGCUUAAUUAAUUUGAUAGUAAUAUGUGCAUAGUUUGUUAUUACCAGUUCUACUGCGUAAAAUAACCUUAUUUCUCUACGCUAGACUUAAUACAAUUAUGCUAUAUUAACUUAGUACAAUAUAAUAAUUUUUUAUCUUAAUCGCGUUUGUCGUUGAUACUCAGUUAAUCAGUUUUGAUUAAUUCAUAACCUAUUCCUAUAUUAUUGGCUAUUUUCUGUUUCUUUGUUAUGAAGUUGUCGUUACCUUGUUCUACAAUUCUAAUCCUUCAUCGCUGUGUCCUUUACUUGGAACGGUUACAUGGUAUGCGUUUGGUAUCUUCUGAUUCUUCGUUACAUGUCUAACACUUGUCAAGACUACUUUUACUUAUCCUAGAAUUGUAAGUAUAUAUAUAAAUAUAUAUAAAACACUGUAUUUUGUAAAUAUCUGUAUAGUAAAAUAGUCCGUCCACUAUCUUGUUUGCUAAGACCGCUUCGCUAACAUCGAAUUGUUUUGUUAUAAUGUCAGAAUAUUUCCUUGGUUUUCCAGUUUCUUGUUGCUGCCUUGACUGUUUCAGUAGUAUCUGGUUCAGUAUUCCGUAAGUAUUCACUUAAGUUUGGUAGUAGGCUUCUUGUAACUGCGUCGGUUUUAAUGUAUAUCUUCCGAUGUUAUGAUUGGUUACGUCGGUAUUUAUUACUUUCGAUAUCUUCAUACCGUCGUAUAUUAUGUUUUGCAAAGUUGGAUCCGUAGCCAAUUCUCGUGGAGUUCCUGCAUGCACACUUUCUUCUACGAUGAUUGGUUGCAUACAAAUCUCGUUAACUUAUAAAUAAUAUCAACUUCGAUUCUUCGUACACGUUUACUCCAAUUUGGUAGUUGGUUUCUCAUAACUGUGUUGACCCUUGUAUAAAUUUCUUCAAUGUGAAUAGUAAAUUAUCGUUGUCACUGACUUAACCUAUCCUAGUUAUUUCUUAACUCUUCCUGCGCUUAUUAAUUAAUUUUAUUUCUUCUUAUUAAAGACCGCUAUGUCAACGCUGAGUUAUUUCAUUAUAAUGUCACUAACUUUCUUGAUUUUUUCGGUUUUAUUUUCCAUUAGCGAACUGUAAGUUUGUUGUCGAGCAUCAAUUAUUGAUUGUUGUGCUUCGUUUAGUUUAAUUGAAAUAUAAUUGUAAAUUUUUAAUAGUAUUAUUUUCUUCCAUAUAUAUUAAGGCAAUUGAGGUUAGUUUAUUUAUUCGUUUCUGCUGACAGUCGUAUACUAUGUUCUACGGAGUGGGUCCACAACUUGUUUCUGCGAAAUUCCUGCAUGUACUUUUUACUUCUACGAUGAUUAAUUGUGCACUACGUGCUUUUAACUUUCACUGCUUUUAAUUAUUUUAUUGAAUUAACAUGUUGCGUAUUUAAAUGAUGGUUAGAACACACACAUAAUAAUUUUCCUUUUUCUUUUACGUUUCUACUAUCUGCAUGAUUCGAUAAGCACUGUCACACUUCCUUAGGCACAAUAUUGUUAUAGACAUUUAGUAAUAUUAUGUUUUGUAUUGAAACAAUUGAAGUUAAUUCUUCCAUUUGUUUCAGUUAGCUGUCAUACCUUGUGUUCUACGGAUAUGGACAAAUAACCUGUCUUCGCAUAUACACUUCCUUCUACGAUGAGUAAUUGUUCACGAGGUUACCACUAUCUGCAGUAUUCGACAAGCAGUGUUGUUCCAUAUACUACCGUACUACGUUGUCUCUUGAAAUCGUUCUUGUGGUCUGUUUCGAUUCUGUUAGUUUUAACUUGUUCGAGUGUAUUGUUCGUGGAAUCCCUUUUACUUUAAUCUUGACGUUUCGUGUGUGGAUUCUGACAAUAGUACCUGGUUUAUUGAAGUGUGUUAAUAUGCCUAGGUGUUUUAUAUAUUUUAUAUCUAGUUGUAUAUAAGAUAUAUUUUGUUUAUUGUGGUUUUGUAUGUCCAUAUUUGCUGUAUAUUAAAUUGCUUGAUAUUU